This 223-nucleotide long non-coding RNA is filed under the name Hordeum vulgare. RNAcentral's name for it is "long non-coding RNA (HVUL_LNC020740)". Lineage: Eukaryota; Viridiplantae; Streptophyta; Magnoliopsida; Poales; Poaceae. The record is from RNAcentral.
UUUCUUCCUCUUGUUCGUUGCGAAUACAACCGAUCAUGCCCGAGCUAAGUGCUCCACUACUGACCACGUCCAUCCCCAUGAUCCGAGCUUCGAGCUGGGCCUACUACGACUAAGCCAGGGCGCACAAAUCGCAACCAACUGGCGAGGGAAAAGUGCUAACAGAAACGAAACACUAGCUAGACUCUGACGAAACUGAAUGUGUCUAGCGACACUUAUCUGAAGA